CGGCAAAAGCUCAAAUUUGAAAUCCCCCGGGAAUUGUAAUUUGAAGGUGGCCUCAGUUAGUCCAAACAUUCUUAAGUCCAUUGGAAAAUGGCGCCAUGGAGGGUGAUAGCCCCGUAAAGAUGUCGUUUGUUCUAUUUUCUCUGGCCACCAAAGAGUCGAGUUGUUUGGGAAUGCAGCUCUAAGUGGGUGGUAAAUUCCAUCUAAAGCUAAAUAUUGGCGAGAGACCGAUAGCGAACAAGUACAGUGAUGGAAAGAUGAAAAGCACUUUGAAAAGAGAGUGAAAAAGUACGUGAAAUUGUUGAAAGGGAAGGGCUUGCAAGCAGACACAACCUCGUGUUGGGCCAGCAUCGGGGCGAGAGGAAGUAAAAACGAUUUGGAAAUGUAACUUUCGAGUAUUAUAGACCUUAUCCCUCCCUUCCAUCUCAUCCCGAGGCCUGCGGUUUAUCCUAGGAUGCUGGCGUAAUGGUUGCAAGUCGCCCGUCUUGA
Molecule: ribosomal RNA, 486 nt
Filed under: Metschnikowia australis
Lineage: Eukaryota; Fungi; Ascomycota; Pichiomycetes; Serinales; Metschnikowiaceae
Description: LSU rRNA
Rfam family: Eukaryotic large subunit ribosomal RNA
Source: RNAcentral